AUCACAGAUAAAAGUGAAAGUAAAAGAAAGCUGAUGUUUCGCCAUUUUAAACAGACUGUCGAUUCCUUCCACUUUAAAUUAUUAUUACAUUUUUCAUAGAAACUUUUAUAAAACCUUAGACAGGAAUUUAUGUGAAGCGUGAUGGAAGAGAUGGAGGAGUUUGUGAAUCGGGUGGCUGUGUAGAUUUUGAUGAAGGUGAUUGUUCACAUCUCCCUUUACAGAGUCAGUGGACUGUUUUGACUGUUCAGCUUCAUUAUGGAUGACACACAAACAUCCAGAGAUGAAGAUUUUUCUCCAGGAUUCAGUUCAGUUCAGCAGGAGAGAUCAGAGCCAGAGCCCAGCUGUGUGUCUAUGAGGAGUGACAGGUCUAUGCCUCUUCCAUUCAAUUUUAAGAAUGAGGAUACACAGACUGAUCUCAGGUCAAUCCUGCCACAAAGAUCAGCCGUAACAAAACCCGUCUGUAAGAAGAACGACCAGUCUAUGAAUCAACUACAGGACUUUGAUGAAAGCAGCCAUGAAGUCCUCAAGUUUAGAUCAAAUCUGAUGAAGAAGUUUGAGCAUCUGUAUGAAGGAACAGCAAAGCAGGGAAACCCAACACUCCUGAAUGAGAUCUACACAGAGCUCUACAUCACAGAGGGUGACAGUGGAGAGAUCAGUAAUGAGCAUGAGGUGAGACAGAUUGAGACACAAUCCAGGAGAGCAGCAACAGAGGACACACCGAUCAAAUGCAAUGACAUCUUCAGACCUUUACCUGGACAAAACAAACCCAUCAGAACUGUGCUGACAAAGGGAGUCGCUGGCAUUGGAAAAACAGUCUCUGUGCAGAAGUUCAUCCUAGACUGGGCUGAAGGGAAAGUGAAUCAGGACGUCCAGCUCAUAUUUCCACUUCCUUUCAGAGAGCUCAAUCUGAUGAAGGACAAAACACUCAGUCUUUCAGAUCUUCUUCAUGACUUUUUCCCUGAAACAAAAAAAAUGGAAAUAUCCAGUGACAAAUAUAAAGUGUUGUUUAUCUUUGAUGGUCUGGAUGAGUGUCGUUUUAACUUACAUUUUCAAAGGAAUGAGACUCUACGAGAUGCAAACAAAAAGAAAUCAGUGGACGUGCUGCUGAUGAACCUCAUUGCGGGGAAUCUGCUUCCCUCUGCUCUCAUCUGGAUCACCUCCAGACCAGCAGCAGCUGAACUCAUCCCCUCUGAGUGUGUCCAUCGAGUGACAGAGGUACGAGGCUUCAAUGAGCCACAGAAGGAGGAAUACUUCAGGAAGAGAAUCAGUGAUCAGAGUCUGGCCAAUAAAAUCAUCUCACACCUGAAGUCAUCAAGGAGCCUCUACAUCAUGUGCCACAUCCCAGUGUUCUGCUGGAUCUCUGCCACUGUUCUAGAGAAGAUGUUGAGUGAAGCAGAGAUUGGAGAGAUUCCCAAGACUCUCACUCAAAUGUACACACACUUCCUGAUCCUUCAGACCGACAUUAAACAUGAGAAAGACUAUAAGAAGAACCUGACAGAUGAAGACAUGAUCCUCAAACUGGGGAAAGUGGCUUUUCAGCAGCUUGUGAAAGGCAAUGUGAUCUUCUAUGAGGAAGACCUGAGAGAGUGUGGCAUUGAUGUGACAGAAGCAUCAGUGUACUCUGGAUUGUGCACUCAGAUCUUCAGAGAGGAGUCAGGCUUGUAUCAGGGGAAAGUCUUCUGCUUUGUUCAUCUGAGUGUUCAGGAACAUCUAGCGGCUUUAUAUGUGCACCUCUGCUUCACAAACAACAACAGAAAUCUAUUUGAUCCAGUCACCAAAUCAGAUUUGUUGUCUAUAAUUAAGGACCGGUUUCAACUCAUGUUUAAACAUGUUUCAUUUUCUGAGCUCCAUCAGAGAGCUGUGAAUGAGGCUCUACAAAGUAAAAAUGGACAUCUGGACCUUUUUCUACGGUUCCUUCUGGGUCUGUCAGUCGAGUCUCAUCAGAUUCUCCUACAGGGACUAAUGACACUGAGAAGAAGCCAAUCUGACAGAAAUGAGAAAACAGUUGAGUACAUCAAGGAGAAGAUCAGGACCAUUGACUCUCCAGAGAAAUCCAUCAAUCUGUUCCACUGUCUGAAUGAACUGGGUGAUCAUUCACUAGUGGAGGAAAUACAACAGUAUCUGAAAUCUGGAACAAUAAGUAAAGCCAGACUCUCUUCAUCUCAGUGGUCAGCUGUAGUUUUUGUGUUGUUGACAUCAGAGAAGAAGCUGGAUGAGUUUGAUAUUAAUAAAUUUGUUGGAGAAAACAAUAAAGCUGAAAAACUGAAGGUUCUUCAGAAGCUGCUGCCUGUGAUUAAAGUUCAUCUGAGUGAUUGUGGAGUCACAGAGAAAGAUUGUGCUGCUCUGACUUCAGUUCUGAGAUCAAACCCUUCACACCUAAGAGAUCUGGAUCUGAAUAAUAAAAAACUACGAGAUUUGGGUGUGAAGCUUCUUUCUGUUGUACUGGAAGAUCCUGACUGUAAACUGGAGAAACUCUGGUUGAGGGAUUGUGGAGUCACGGAUGAAGGUUGUGCUGCUCUGGCUUCAGCUCUGAGAUCAAACCCCUCACACCUGAGAGAUCUGAGUCUGACUGGGAAUAAACUAGGAGAUUCAGUUCAUCUGCUCUCUGCUGUACUGGAGGAUCCUCACUGUAAACUGGAGAAACUGUGGUUGAGUUAUUGUGGAGUCACAGAUGAAGGUUGUGCUGCUCUGGCUUCAGCUCUGAGAUCAAACCCCUCACACCUGAGAGAUCUGAAUCUGUCUGUGAAUAAACUAGGAGAUUCAGUUCAUCUGCUCUCUGCUGUACUGGAGGAUCCUCACUGUAAACUGGAGACACUGUGGUUGAGGGAUUGUGGAGUCACAGAUGAAGGUUGUGCUGCUCUGGCUUCAGCUCUGAGAUCAAACCCCUCACACCUGAGACAUCUGAAUCUGUCUGUGAAUAAACUAGGAGAUUCAGUUAAUCUGCUCUCUGCUGUACUGGAGGAUCCUCACUGUAAACUGGAGACACUGGCGUUGUAUGAUUGUGGAGUCACAGAUGAAGGUUGUGCUGCUCUGGCUUCAGCUCUGAGAUCAAACCCCUCACACCUGAGAUAUCUGGAUCUGUCUGGGAAUAAACUAGGAGAUUCAGUUCAUCUGCUCUCUGCUGUACUGGAGGAUCCUCACUGUAAACUGGAGACACUGUGGUUGAGGGAUUGUGGAGUCACAGAUGAAGGUUGUGCUGCUCUGGCUUCAGCUCUGAGAUCAAACCCCUCACACCUGAGAGAACUGUAUCUGUCUGGGAAUAAACUCCGAGAUUCAGAUGUGAAGCUUCUCUCUGAUCUAAAGAAUGAUCCACAUUAUAAAUUGGAGACACUAGAUCACAACUGAACCACCCACUCCCGCUUGGAAACCAAUCAAAUGUUUAAACUUUUUUUAGCGCCAUCAUCAAUAUCCCGCCCCCUCAUCGUGCGACCUCGUGCAUCAUCAUCAAAGUCGUCAAUCAUCAGAAUACCCAAAAAGAAGAAAAAAAGCAAGCCAAGAGGUCUAAGCCACAUCCUACAACUGUGAAGUGGAGGCAAAGGGACAGAAAUGGGAAUGUUAUACGGCCGCUUCGAAAAAAAACCUCAAUAAAACAAAAACUGAAAAGAAAGGCUCCUAACCACGGUCCCACCAGUGUGCCCAUCCAAGAGGAAUUUGUUUAUCGAGCAGAAACUGGUAACUGUACACUAUGGUUAUAUGGAAUGGCAUCUGGUUAAUAGAGUUUAAGUAAUAUUCUGCCAGCUUCAACCUACAUAAUUGCAUAUUUUUUUAUAAAUGAGAUCCUGGUAACACUUUAGAAAACUGAUCCUUCAUUAAUGAAUAACUACACAGGAACAAAUGAGUAAUGCAUUAUUAACACUCUAUAACUUCUAUUAACUAACAAGAAACUCUGUUUAAUGAAUUAGUAAGUAAUAGUGCUCAGUUGAAGGUGGUAGUUCCCUAUUAGCUAACCAGUAACUACUGUUUUUUUUUUUUUUUUCAUACCUCCCAGAGAACUACUAAGAACUACUAUAUACAGGUUCAUAAUUAAUGUGAAUGAUGCAUAAUGUAUAAUUAAUUCUAAAGUAAAGGUCACGUUAACCCACUAGUAAUGACUGAAGUAUUAUCAAAUCCUUCAGAAGGAACUACUAAUUAUUUGGAUCAGUAUUAUAAAGUGAAGAUCAUGGUAACCCACUAGUAACUGCUUAAGUGUUACCAAAAACAUCAGAAGUAAUUACUGUACAAAACUGUACAAAAACCUCAAAAGUUUACAAUGACUCCAGUAGUUAGAGAGUUAUCAUGUUUCUCACUUUAUAAUAGUGAUCCAAAUAAUUAGUAAUUCCUUCUGAAGGAUUUGGUAAUACUUUAGUCAUUACUAGUGGGUUACCAUGAUCUUCACUUUAGAAUUAAUUAUAUAUUAUGCAUCAUUCACAUUAAUUAUGAACCUGUAUAUAGUAGUUCUUAGUAGUUCUCUGGGAGGUAUGAAAAAACAGCUUUUGGCAGCUGAAUAUGUUCAAGAACGCAUCUGCCAACACUGUCUUACUGCAGAGGCCAUUGUACGGUGCAGGGACUGUCUACCUAGGCAGUUUCUAUGCACCGUGUGUGAUGGAGAUGUUCAUCAGCACUUACCUCUCCAUAACAGAGACUCUAUGGCCCAUGGGUUCUUCACGCCAUUGUGUCCAACCACUGCAGUGAAGAGACAUUCCGAGGCCAUCGAGUUCUCUGAACAGGUUCGAUAUCUUCCACUACUUUUGCCAGAGAAAAUUUGUGCCUGUUCAGAAAGUUCCUGCAGGUUGAUCAGUGGCAAGCCCAUUAUUGUAAUAAAUUUUAAUGGACGGUACAAUCUCACCCUUCCAUCACUGGAGACCUCAUGCUGUGGGAAAACAUGGGCAGUGGGGCUCAGUGAUCUUCUCAAGUCUGGGUACUGGCCAGCCUCUAUACAUUUUGAGACCGUGUAUGAGGCUGGCCUUUUUAGGUCUUUUCUGGAUUUAAAACUUUUUGCUCCAGGUCUUUCACAUCAAGCGUUCCUUGGAAUGCUUGACCGGAGAACAGAGUACAAUGGCAGGAGUGGUAAAAUAUGUGGAGACACAUUCCAGAAAGCCUUGCUGGAGUGGACCUUUGCCCAGCAUGAGGUUGAGAGGCUUUGUGGUGUACAGCCAUUUAAAUGUCCUGCUUGCAGUCCUUCCAUGCAUGCCAUCUCAGUGGAUGGUAACAGGAAGCUGUACAGGUUCCAUAAUGCACAUGGGUGUAUUUUUUUUCUUUAUUUUUUUAUUGUACUACUUAACUGUCUAUAUCAUGUUUCUCUUUCCCAAUAAAAUUAAGCACAGAGAAGGGCUACUUCGAUGGGACAUUUAUAAUGAAGGAUGAAGAUGUUUCAUCCUUUGUGGGAUAUGUUCAUGAAAAGACCAAGCAUGCCACAGGUAAAGGGGUGUGUGGCUCUUCUCAAUGGACAGCAGCCAAGGAGUCUGCAAAAAAGUCGACAUCAAAGAUUGAUGAGGAAGGCCUUGAGAUUGCUGUGUGCCGACAUGGAGGACUUUUAAAAGGCCUAAAUAUGUUCAGAGGGGAAAUAUUUGCUUAUCCCCUGUUCCUUCAAAACACCCUCUCAAAAGAAAAUGUGUCAUUCUUCUGCUCAGAUGUCGCCUGCAAGUACUGGCCAUACUUAAAGAGAGUGGUGGGACACUGUCCAGAGCUAAGGCCUUUAUUAAAUAUGCGCCCACUAUUAUCAGUUAUGCAUGCCAAAGCACAUGAGUGGAGUUGUGAGAUAAAAUGGUCUGGAAGAAACCAAGAGGGAGCUGGUCUUACAAUUGGAGAAGAGGUGGAGCAAGUCAACUCCUUCUUGUCAAGAGCUGCAAUUUGCACUAAAUACAUGUCCAAAGCUGCACGUUCAGACAUGCUCACUGUUCUUGCUUCUGCAUGGAACAAACGGAAGUCUGAAAAUCUGGCCAAAUGUUUGUCUCAAAGAUACAUUAAGACAACCGAAAGGCUGAAAGUGGAAAGAGAGAGCUUUGAAAGUCUGCAGGCUGAGCUUAAUGUCAGUGAUGAUGACAUUCAGCAGUGGGUCAGUGAUGUCCAGCAGUGGGCCACAGUAUCAAGUGCAAAGGAGGACACUGGACUUGAGGGCAGAAUUCGAGGCCUUUAUGUCAGCAUAAAGCUGAGAAAAAUUAAUCUAUACCGUCAGACAGAUAGCAACAAGAGAAGGCACAAAAUAAGGAGGAAAAUUAAUGAAGACAAGUCAACCUUGGCAGCUGCCAUUAAGGACUUCAAUGAACAAUCAGUCCACCAGCUUCCUUCCGUGGAUGAACUGCUCACAGCUGAUCAUUUCCAAUGGCCAUGGGAAUGCCCUGACACUAGUAAUGGCAACCUCUCAACUAAGAAGAUGGUCUUUGACCGGUUCAUGAUGCUUUCCCGACUGAAGGAGGAGGAGCAGAUCAUAGUGACGGAGGUGAAGCAACACUGGCAAUCAUUGAAGGAAGCUGAAUGUUCCCUGAGGGAUCUCUCAGUUCAAAUACAAACUAACAACAGUGACUUUGAGCUUUCAGAGGAGAGUGCCAAUGGACUACUGUGCCUUCUUAAGAGAAAAAUGGAAGACCUUCAGUUUCUGCAAAAUAAUGCUAGGAUGUUAUAACGACAAUGUGUUCUGGGACAGGCUUCGGACAGCAUUCUAUUUGAUAACAUUUCCUAUAAAGAAACUGAGGCAAUAAACUACAGCUCUGAUGAAACAGACAGUGAUGAGGACUAAACCUGAGUAUAUAGAAUAGACAGAUACUGAAGAACUAUUUUAAUAAGCUGUAUUUCUUUUUCUUUUUCUUUUUUCACUGUGAGAAACAUUUUAGCAUAUUAACAGAAUCUAUUUAAUAUUUUCCCAUCCUAAUGGAAAUGAGAUUAAGGUUCAGCAGUACAAGUUUUGACUAUUAUUUUUGAAUCUUUAAAUGUGUUUGUGUAUGUAAGACAGGUGUUUCACUCCACGCAUUUUUAUAGUCUUAUAAACAGCCAUACAACCUCCAUCCCUAUUAAUUAUAUUCUAUUAUUUCCAUUUUCCUUAGCUCUCAUGGGACCAUACAGUGUAUAUCUGUGAGGGGUGUUUUGCAGUGUGUACAUAUCUUAUAUUGAUAGAAAGUAUAUAAGGAUACAUAACGUUUUCACCUAAUAAUUUUUUUUCCUUACUGUAAGCAAAAUAAAAUACUUGUACAGUGAUCUACAAAAACAGUCUUGUCUUUUUAUCUCCUCUCUGUUCAGGCAGGUUUUGCAUGUAAUGUGCAGAUAAUUCUGCAGUAUAUUCUCUUUUGACUAAUACUGUUCUGAUAAAUACUAUGACAUAGUCAGUGCAGUUCUUACAAAUUGUAGUCUGUUACUAAUUCCAAAUUACAUGACAAAUUGUAUCCAUUACAUUACACAUUUAAGGUAAUAGACUAUGAUUUGUAUUUGAUAUGUUUAUCUGCAUGUCAUGUGACCAUUAAUGUACAUCAGAGAAUAAAACUUAUUAUUAUUUUAUUUUUGACCUAACUUAACUAAAAAUCUCAGCGCUUACUUCAAGUAAAAUUAUUAGUAGGUCAAAGAGGUUCAUCUGACAAAAAUUGUGGAGAAACACUGCAUUGCAUGUUAAUAUGAAAUGACGUGAAUUUGUACAUUUUAGUGUGUUUAAAAGACAAAAGCCUUCCAAGGACAGUGAUACAUGGUUAAAUGACUCAGUGUUAUUCAAUUAAUAAUGUUUACAUCAUAAUUAGUUACUACCCAACAAUCAACAAUGAUUAUACAAUGUAGAAUUGCAUUUUAGGUAAUAGUCUAAAUAUAGUUGUCUUAUGCCACAAUUCAGAAUCUUGAAUUAGCAUUUUAUUUAUAAUGUCUUGGGUUAGGGUUAGGGUUAGAGCUGUCCUAAUGCAAGUAACCAAGAAAAUGUAAAAAAUCAUCCAGAAUGUGGACUAUUUUAUCAGUGUUUUUAAAUACAUCAACCCACCUGAUUUUCAUGUUGUAUGCUAUAAUGUAAUCAAUCAAUGCUAAAUUUAGUACUAAAUCAGCAUGUCAAGACCAGUUGUGUUCAUUUGAAGUAUAACUGAUUAUAUUACAGUGAUUGGUUAUUAAAUUAUAAAGUACAAUGACAUUCUUUUGUUGGUCCUUUUGACGUGAAGAAUGAGAAAGCAUGAGUUAAGUAUUACAAGCAAGGCCCAACACUGGAUAAGGAUGUGUAAUAGUGCAAUGAAGUGUCACAAUAUGUAUUGGUUGUUUAAAUUGGUGUCUUUGUUUACUGUAAACACUGUAUUCUUGUUCUUGAUCUAAUUAAAUAAACGGAAGCCCAUUCCAAAUGGGCAUUUAUGAUGA
Molecule: RNA transcript, 8292 nt
Organism: Ctenopharyngodon idella (grass carp)
Lineage: Eukaryota; Metazoa; Chordata; Actinopteri; Cypriniformes; Xenocyprididae
Gene name: NACHT, LRR and PYD domains-containing protein 12-like
Exons: 25
Source: RefSeq, a predicted model, not a curated record